AUGAGGGUUGAGCGGGGUUUCCCCCGCCCUGGUAGUCUUAGUAAGCCGGGAAGCUUAUGACUAAGAGCACCACGAUGAUGAUCCACUUCAUCAUGACCCUUUCCUUAUUUAUGGCCCCUUCCUCGGGAGGGGCUUU
This 136-nucleotide antisense RNA is filed under the name Escherichia coli VR50. Its description in RNAcentral is "sRNA antisense regulator of toxic IbsB protein". The stretch from base 1 to 109 matches the Rfam family "Short Intergenic Abundant RNA", at positions 35 to 147 of the family's 147-position model. Rfam says of the family: This family contains multiple ncRNA from E. coli that were identified in a large scale screen of E. coli, were they were called candidates 43,55 and 61. These RNAs have also been identified by other groups and called QUAD RNAs. Lineage: Bacteria; Pseudomonadati; Pseudomonadota; Gammaproteobacteria; Enterobacterales; Enterobacteriaceae. The record is from RNAcentral.